UCUCUUCGAUUCGGUGCAUGCACCUGCCAAAGGGGUGCUGCGAUUUGGGUCAUUCAUCCUUCACCUACGUCGUUCCUCUUGCUUCGGCGCAUGCAUCUUCGAGAUCCCGUAUCCCUUGCUUUCAAUCUUGAACAAUGCAGGUCUAUCACAAUCUUGCAGUGGAAUCGGUUUGAGCGGCUGGCAGAGACGGGGCUCAACUUCUUCAAUCCAUUGUCCGACAAAUGUCUGGAUACUGAAGAUUGUGUGUAUUGACGCCAAGUUCAACUUUGAAGGUUUAAAGGUGCUCUCAUUAUAGAAGGAGAUGCAAGAUCAGACCUCUCAAAUGUGCAAGAUUCGAAGCUAUGUCAUGGAUUCUCAAAGAACAAUACUUGCGUUUUGCUUCCAAACAGCUUAUUUGGCAGUCACAUAGAUGAAUCGAUUCCUUGUAGGGAGACCCAAUAUUAUUGUAAGACCAACUUUAUACUUAUUAAUGCAAAUCAUUAAACACUUUCAGUUCUAUGUUAUGUGUUUUUGCAAACUAUG
Tripterygium wilfordii is the source of this 522-nucleotide long non-coding RNA. RefSeq lists it as uncharacterized. The transcript is spliced from 5 exons. Lineage: Eukaryota; Viridiplantae; Streptophyta; Magnoliopsida; Celastrales; Celastraceae. The record is from RefSeq and is a predicted model, not a curated record.